CUUCUUGUUUUUUUUUAAAAUUAAUUUAAUUCAGUUACCUUAGAAAUAAAUAAUGCCGUUGCUUUUUUGUUCAACAUAACCUUGUCAGUAAUUAACAUCGUCAAUUAUUGAGAUACUCUGAAAAUCAAAGGAUCUGAAUGAAUAAAUAUUAUAUUCUCAAUCCACCCUCACUCUGUUAGACAACUACUUGAAGACUCACAAUCUGAAAAUGAAGAUACAUGCUUUAUUCGAUUGGUAACUGAGCGUGAAUCAAUAUUAUUAAGUCUGAAAAUAAUGUUUUCGUAGCAGCUAGUCCAUAUUUUUGUUAUCAGUUUUGAAAAAAGCAACAAUUGAAAUCUUGUUGAUAUGAGUUAGAUUCCACCGUUUUACUUA
Molecule: long non-coding RNA, 372 nt
Organism: Metopolophium dirhodum (rose-grain aphid)
Lineage: Eukaryota; Metazoa; Arthropoda; Insecta; Hemiptera; Aphididae
Exons: 3
Source: RefSeq, a predicted model, not a curated record